This 72-nucleotide transfer RNA is filed under the name Stegodyphus dumicola. Its description in RNAcentral is "tRNA-Asp". It matches the Rfam family "tRNA". Rfam says of the family: Transfer RNA (tRNA) molecules are approximately 80 nucleotides in length. The record is from RNAcentral. Lineage: Eukaryota; Metazoa; Arthropoda; Arachnida; Araneae; Eresidae.
UCCUCGGUAGUAUAGUAAUGAGUAUCCCCGCCUGUCACGCGGGAGACCGGGGUUCAAUUCCCCGCCGGGGAG